UAACUGAUUAUAAUUACCUCCCCUGAAUGACGUCAUCCGGGGAUACCCGAUUAUCGACUAUAAGCAAACAAAGAGAUGUCUGUUUGACAAUGUGUGUUUUCAACGGUGUAAAUGGACUUAAAAUAUGAACGAAAAGAUUAAUGACCACGACUAUGCUGUCCAGUUUUACACAGCAACACCAGUAUUCGACUCAAAACCGGAUGGAAAACAGAUUCAAGACAUUACUGUAUCACUCGAGAAGAAGUUGAAGUCUAACAGGAUCUGCUGUGUGCCCAAAUGUCACACCACUGGCUAAGGAUUGUUAGAAGGCCAUGGAAAGCCCAGCUAUCAUGCAUUUCCAGCUGAAGAUGAUCCAGUUCAAGCUGUUUGGUUGAAUAAAAUACGAAGAGAUGAAGACAGACAUUUUAAGGUCAGUUGUUAGUGGUUUCAGUAA
Molecule: long non-coding RNA, 433 nt
Organism: Dreissena polymorpha
Lineage: Eukaryota; Metazoa; Mollusca; Bivalvia; Myida; Dreissenidae
Exons: 3
Source: RefSeq, a predicted model, not a curated record